This is a non-coding RNA of Triticum aestivum (bread wheat), 119 nucleotides long. The record is from Rfam. Lineage: Eukaryota; Viridiplantae; Streptophyta; Magnoliopsida; Poales; Poaceae.
GGAUGUGAUCAUACCAGCACUAAAGCACCGGAUCCCAUCAGAACUCCGAAGUUAAGCGUGCUUGGGCUAGAGUAGAACUAGGAUGUGUGACCUCCAGGGAAGUCCUCGUGUUGCAUUCC